RNAcentral lists this ribosomal RNA (441 nucleotides) under uncultured bacterium. Its description in RNAcentral is "partial 16S ribosomal RNA". It matches the Rfam family "Bacterial small subunit ribosomal RNA", at positions 338 to 795 of the family's 1533-position model. The record is from RNAcentral.
CCUACGGGUGGCAGCAGUGGGGGAUAUUGCACAAUGGGGGGAACCCUGAUGCAGCGACGCCGCGUGGGUGAAGGAGUGCUUCGGCAUGUAAAGCCCCAUCGGUAGGGAAGAAGCAAGACGGUACCUGACUAAGAAGCCCCGGCUAACUACGUGCCAGCAGCCGCGGUAAUACGUAGGGGGCGAGCGUUAUCCGGAUGUACUGGGUGUAAAGGGAGAGUAGACGGCAGCGCAAGUCUGGAGUGAAAUCCCAUGGCUUAACCAUGGAACUGCUUUGGAAACUGUGCAGCUGGAGUGCAGGAGAGGUAAGCGGAAUUCCUGGUGUAGCGGUGAAAUGCGUAGAUAUAUGGAAGAACACCAGUGGCGAAGGCGGCCGCCUGGCCUGUUGCUGACGCUGAGGCACGAAAGCGUGGGGAGCAAAUAGGAUUAGAUACCCCUGUAGUC